Molecule: ribosomal RNA, 547 nt
Filed under: uncultured bacterium
Lineage: Bacteria
Description: bacterial SSU rRNA
Rfam family: Bacterial small subunit ribosomal RNA
Source: RNAcentral
UGGGGAAUAUUGCGCAAUGGGGGGAACCCUGACGCAGCCAUGCCGCGUGAAUGAAGAAGGCCUUAGGGUUGUAAAGUUCUUUCGGUAUUGAGGAAGGUUGAUGUGUUAAUAGCACAUCAAAUUGACGUUAAAUACAGAAGAAGCACCGGCUAACUCCGUGCCAGCAGCCGCGGUAAUACGGAGGGUGCGAGCGUUAAUCGGAAUAACUGGGCGUAAAGGGCACGCAGGCGGUUAUUUAAGUGAGGUGUGAAAGCCCUGGGCUUAACCUAGGAAUUGCAUUUCAGACUGGGUAACUAGAGUACUUUAGGGAGGGGUAGAAUUCCACGUGUAGCGGUGAAAUGCGUAGAGAUGUGGAGGAAUACCGAAGGCGAAGGCAGCCCCUUGGGAAUGUACUGACGCUCAUGUGCGAAAGCGUGGGGAGCAAACAGGAUUAGAUACCCUGGUAGUCCACGCUGUAAACGCUGUCGAUUUGGGGGUUGGGGUUUAACUCUGGCGCCCGUAGCUAACGUGAUAAAUCGACCGCCUGGGGAGUACAGCCGCAAGGUUA